RNAcentral lists this ribosomal RNA (1472 nucleotides) under uncultured Bordetella sp. Its description in RNAcentral is "partial 16S-23S ribosomal RNA intergenic spacer". It matches the Rfam family "Bacterial small subunit ribosomal RNA". The record is from RNAcentral. Lineage: Bacteria; Pseudomonadati; Pseudomonadota; Betaproteobacteria; Burkholderiales; Alcaligenaceae.
GGUUCGAUUAUGGCUCAGAUUGAACGCUGGCUGGAUGCUUUACAUGCAAGUCGAACAGCUGGACUUCGGUCUGUGUGGCAGUGGCGAACAGGUGAGUAAUGUAUCGGAGCGUCACCUAGUAGCGGGGGAUAACUACGCGAAAGCGUAGCUAAUACCACAUACGCCCAUCGAAGCAGGGACUGGGCCUCGCACUGGCAAAACGGCCGAUAUCGGAUUAGCUAGUUAUUGGUGGGGUAACGGCUCACCAAGGCGACGAUCGUAAGCUGGACCCGGGACGACCAACCACACUGGGACUGAGACUACGGCCCAGACUCCUACGGGGAGCAGCAGUGGGGGUACGGACAAUGGGGGGGAAACCUGAUCCCAGCCAUCCGCGUGUGCGACCAAAUUCCUUCAGGUUGUAAAGCACUUUGGCAGGAAAAGAAACGGCACCGGGAUAAUACCCCGUGCAACUGUGUACCUGCAGAAUAAGCACCGAGCUAACUACGUACCCGGCAGCCGCCCCCGGUAAUACACGUAGGUGCAAGCGUUAAUCGGAAUUGCUGGGCUUUCAGCGGUACUUUCGACCGGUUCGGAAGAAAGAUGUGAAAUCUAGAGCUUAACUGGAACUGCAUUUUUAACUGCCAAAUAGAGAGUGUGUGGCAAGAGGGAGGUGGAAUUCCGCGUGUAGCAGUGAUAAAAGCGAUAUGCGGAGGAACACCGAUGGCGAAGGCAGCCUCCUGGGAUUUUCACUGACGCUCGCUUCUGGCGUGAGGGAGCGGGGAUUAGAUACUGGUAGUCCAUACCCUAAACGAUCAUCAACUAGCUGUUGGGGCUUCGGGCCUUGGUAGCGCAAUAACGCGUGAAGUUGACCGCCUGGGAGUACGGUCGCAAGAUUAAAACUCAAAGGAAUUGACAGGGACCCGCACAAGCGGUGGAUGAUGUGGAUUAAUUCGAUGCAACGCGAAAAGAAACCUACCCUUGACAUGUCUGGAAUCCCGAAGAGAUUUGGGAGUGCUUGCAAGAGAACCGGAACACAGGUGCUGCAUGGCUGUCGUCAGCUCGUGUCGUGAGAUAUUGGGUUAAGUCCCGCAACGAGCGCAACCCUUGUCAUUAGUUGCUACGAAAGGAACCUCUAAUGAGACUGCCGGUGACAAACCGGAGGAAGGUGGGGAUGACGUCAAGUCCUCGCGAAAGCCCAUAUGGGUAGAGCUACCACGUCGCUGCAAUGGUCGGGACAGAGGGUCGCCAACCCGCGAGGGAGGCCAAUCCACAGAAACCCGAUCGUAGUCGGAUCGCAGUCUACGCUCGACUGCGUGAAGUCGGAAUCGCUAGUAAUCGCGGAUCAGCAUGUCGCGGUGAAUACGUUCCCGGGUCUGUACACACCGCCCGUUACACCAUGGGAGUGGGUUUUACGAAGUAGUUAGCCCAACAAUACGGAGGGCGAUUACCACGGUAGGAUUCAUGACUGGGGUGAAGUCGUAACAAGGUAG